Long non-coding RNA from Dalotia coriaria, 536 nucleotides. RefSeq lists it as uncharacterized. Lineage: Eukaryota; Metazoa; Arthropoda; Insecta; Coleoptera; Staphylinidae. The record is from RefSeq and is a predicted model, not a curated record. The transcript is spliced from 3 exons.
UGAGCGCGCGCAUGUAGCGCCAGCGCGCACACACAGUGCGCCGGUCCAACAUAGCCUAAUAAUAUUCACAAGUCGACCGCGUUUUCGUCAGCGCUUUGUUUUAACGUUUUCCCUGAUUUUCAACGGUUUUCAGACGGACAAAUUAGUGAAAUCAUUGUGCAACAUACCCAGACUAUCUCAGCGAUGUUCUCUGCCAUUGACGCCGUGGUCUAACAUCAACUGUCCACAACGCCAUCUACGAACGCAGAGUGAAAAUAUCAACCAUCUGGGAGGAAUUAAGCUCGUCUCUAAUACGAAAUACAAGCGACGCUGGGAUGUUGGCUGAGAUGUGGGAUACACGUGUGUGUGGGGAGUGGAAAACAACGACGAGACGGUAAAUACAGAGGGAAAAUGUUGGAAUCCGCAAGGAUAUUGCAGUAGGGAAGGUUGGCCAAGUCGUACCCCUAAAAUACAAUUGGCCCUAAAUUGAAAGUUUUGCAACAUAAUGUCAGUUUUUGACAUAUUCACCUGCUUUAGUUAAUAUAGCUUUAAUUAGU